UUCGAAUUAAAAAACAGUUAUCUUCUCUUCCCCCCUAAGCCAACUCUGUUUCUCUCUCUCUCUCUCUCUCUCUCUCUCUCUCUCUCUCUCUCUCUGUCUCUGCUGUAAGGAAAAGAAAAACUAGAAAUUCCAUUUCGUUCUGCAGAAAACAUAAUGGCCUAGCUGUUUCUUGGAUCCGGAGAUUCUGGGUUUCUUUCGAUUAGUUUAAUACUAUUGAACAUAGAGUUAUAAGACUUGGAAAAGAACAUUAACCCACAAGACAUGAUUUGGUUCCUCCCAUUGUCUCUCCCUAGGCUCAAAC
RNAcentral lists this long non-coding RNA (301 nucleotides) under Populus tremula. RNAcentral describes it as "long non-coding RNA (PTRE_LNC000746)". The record is from RNAcentral. Lineage: Eukaryota; Viridiplantae; Streptophyta; Magnoliopsida; Malpighiales; Salicaceae.